Long non-coding RNA from Epinephelus moara (kelp grouper), 374 nucleotides. RefSeq lists it as uncharacterized. NCBI's taxonomy places the organism in Eukaryota, Metazoa, Chordata, Actinopteri, Perciformes, Serranidae. The record is from RefSeq and is a predicted model, not a curated record. The transcript has 3 exons.
GAGACCCGCGGCCGCCGCAUUAUAUGACGACGGCACAGUCGGUGCGACUGGAGGGGAAUUUGAACUUCAGGUUGCCAUGUUUGAGGAAGUAUUAUGUGUUGCUGUGCUGUUUAUUGAUGUGGAUCCCAUCAUACGUUCAUUGUUCAGGAGGUUCACUAGACCAAGCAGCCUUUUGGGUUCCUCUAAGUAAGUACUGUAUAGAAUAAUGGGACUGGGAGGAUGGUGUAGGUUUAAAUUUAUUAGACAAGUACAUAUACACCAACAAGACAGUGUACAAGCGGUGUCACAAGAAAGUUUGUUUUCAUUCAUAGGCUUCAUUGUCUUUCCAUCAAUACCUGGUGGGCCGGACUAGGCUCAAAAUGCCCGGGCCGAUU